Molecule: microRNA precursor, 109 nt
Filed under: Pan troglodytes (chimpanzee)
Lineage: Eukaryota; Metazoa; Chordata; Mammalia; Primates; Hominidae
Description: microRNA ptr-mir-10a precursor
Gene: ptr-mir-10a
Rfam family: mir-10 microRNA precursor family (bases 14-89)
About the family: In this case the mature sequence comes from the 5' arm of the precursor. The extents of the hairpin precursors are not generally known and are estimated based on hairpin prediction.
Source: miRBase by way of RNAcentral
AUCUGUCUGUCUUCUGUAUAUACCCUGUAGAUCCGAAUUUGUGUAAGGAAUUUUGUGGUCACAAAUUCGUAUCUAGGGGAAUAUGUAGUUGACAUAAACACUCCGCUCU